RNAcentral lists this ribosomal RNA (101 nucleotides) under Meriones unguiculatus (Mongolian gerbil). Lineage: Eukaryota; Metazoa; Chordata; Mammalia; Rodentia; Muridae. The record is from RNAcentral.
GUCUAUGUCUAUACCACCCUUGUCUGAUCUAGGAAGCUAAGCAGGGCUGGGCCUGGUCAGUACUUGGAUGUCAUGGAAACCUGUGAGGAGCUGGAGGGGCU